This 408-nucleotide ribosomal RNA is filed under the name uncultured bacterium. Its description in RNAcentral is "partial 16S ribosomal RNA". It matches the Rfam family "Bacterial small subunit ribosomal RNA", at positions 28 to 526 of the family's 1533-position model. The record is from RNAcentral.
GACGAACGCUGGCGGCGUGCUUAACACAUGCAAGUCGAACGAAGUGGCGAACGGGUGAGUAACGCGUAAUCAACCUGCCCUUCAGAGGGGGAUAACAGUUGGAAACGACUGCUAAUACCGCAUACUGAAGGAGGGGUUUGCGUCGGAUUAGCUCGUUGGAGGGGUAACGGGCCACCAAGGCGAUGAUCAGUAGCCGGUCUGAGAGGAUGGACGGCCACAUUGGUACUGAGACAAGGCCCAGACUGCUACGGUAGGCAGCAGUGGGGGAUGUUUCGGAAUGGACGAAAGUCUGACGGAGCAAAGCCGCGGGGGUGAUGACGGCCUUCGGGUUGUAAAGCUCUGUUAAUCGGGACGCGGUACCGGAAUAGAAAGCCACGGCUAACUACGUGCCAGCAGCCGCGGUAAUAC